Molecule: ribosomal RNA, 494 nt
Filed under: uncultured bacterium
Lineage: Bacteria
Description: partial 16S ribosomal RNA
Rfam family: Bacterial small subunit ribosomal RNA
Source: RNAcentral
GAACGCUGGCGGCGUGCCUAAUACAUGCAAGUCGAGCGAACGGACGAGAAGCUUGCUUCUCUGAUGUUAGCGGCGGACGGGUGAGUAACACGUGGAUAACCUACCUAUAAGACUGGGAUAACUUCGGGAAACCGGAGCUAAUACCGGAUAAUAUUUUGAACCGCAUGGUUCAAAAGUGAAAGACGGUCUUGCUGUCACUUAUAGAUGGAUCCGCGCUGCAUUAGCUAGUUGGUAAAGUAACGGCUUACCAAGGCAACGAUGCAUAGCCGACCUGAGAGGGUGAUCGGCCACACUGGAACUGAGACACGGUCCAGACUCCUACGGGAGGCAGCAGUAGGGAAUCUUCCGCAAUGGGCGAAAGCCUGACGGAGCAACGCCGCGUGAGUGAUGAAGGUCUUCGGAUCGUAAAACUCUGUUAUUAGGGAAGAACAUAUGUGUAAGUAACUGUGCACAUCUUGACGGCACCUAAUCAGAAAGCCACGGCUAACUACGUG